Non-coding RNA from Castor canadensis (American beaver), 1181 nucleotides. Lineage: Eukaryota; Metazoa; Chordata; Mammalia; Rodentia; Castoridae. The record is from RefSeq and is a predicted model, not a curated record.
GUCCGGCUCCGCCCCCGGGCGUUAUCGUGACGUCAUCCAGCGGUUCGGAAGCACAGGCCCGCGUGGUUCCCUCUAGUCGGUCUUUAGCCCUGCUGUCACUGGCCAUGGCUCGCUCUCGCCGGACAGGCGCGCACCGAGCGCACUCCUUAGCCCGCCAGAUGAAGGCUAAGCGGCGACGGCCGGAUCUGGAUGAAAUUCACCGCGAGCUGCGGCCGCAGGGUCCCGCGAGGCCCAAGCCGGACCCGGAAGCCGAACCCGACCCUGACCUGCCAGGGGGCGGUCUGCAUCGCUGUCUGGCCUGCGCAAGAUACUUCAUCGACUCCGCCAACCUGAAGACCCAUUUCCGAUCCAAAGAUCACAAGAAAAGGCUGAAGCAGUUGACCAUCGAGCCCUACAGUCAGGAAGAGGCAGAGAGGGCAGCGGGCAUGGGCUCCUAUAUGCCGCCCAAGCGACUGGCAAUGCCCACAGAAGUGUCCACUGAGGGCCCUAAGAUGGACACGUCUACCUGACAUGGCCUGAGGAUGCAGGGCAGAGGAGCUGCCCAUGGACAGUGGUGCAAGGACUAGGCUGGGAGAGAGUCUGUCAACCUGUCUGGGCCCUGACCUCUUUUGGGUGCCUUCCCCCCAAUAAAGGAACUGGACAAAGAGGGCUUAUGGCUUAACUUCUAGGCCAAUUCCACAAACUCUGGCCUAUCAGGAUUUCUCUGCUACUUUCUUUGUACAGGGGCAGGGUGUCUCCUCUUUACUUGGGUCAGCUUUGGUACCCGUAUCUCUGCCUUCCUUCUGGGUCCUAACAUCUGAGCUAGAACCCAGGUGCAGUGUUGAAUUGGGGAAGUAGGAUCAGGUCUAGUGCAUCCUGCUCCCAAUGAGGGGAGGGACUGGAUCCCCAGAAAAGAAGAGAGUUUGUGAGAUUGCAGUCACCUACCUCAGGUGAGAGGCUGUCUGCCUCAUUGUGGGGCCUGUGGCGGCUGCCGCUGACCCACCAUCUUCCAUACAGCAUAGCAGGAGCCACUCAGCCCAAGGACAGCAAGCAGUGCAGCCACAACUCCAGGCAGUGGACUCCGGGGCUCUGUCUUCAGCUCGCCAGCCACCUGCAUCUUGGAGGACUCGAUGACUCCCUACAGGACUACCCCUUUGAGGACUGGGAGCUGUCUGGCAAGUAUCUACUCCAGCUCUGUCCCC